RNAcentral lists this ribosomal RNA (56 nucleotides) under Cornospumella fuschlensis. Its description in RNAcentral is "partial 28S ribosomal RNA". The record is from RNAcentral. Lineage: Eukaryota; Synurophyceae; Ochromonadales; Ochromonadaceae.
CCUCCAAUUAGAUAAGAAUACCCGCUGAAUUUAAGCAUAUCAGUAAGCGGAGGAAA